AUUGAACGCUGGCGGCAGGCCUAACACAUGCAAGUCGAGCGGAUGACGGGAGCUUGCUCCUUGAUUCAGCGGCGGACGGGUGAGUAAUGCCUAGGAAUCUGCCUGGUAGUGGGGGACAACGUUUCGAAAGGAACGCUAAUACCGCAUACGUCCUACGGGAGAAAGCAGGGGACCUUCGGGCCUUGCGCUAUCAGAUGAGCCUAGGUCGGAUUAGCUAGUAGGUGAGGUAAUGGCUCACCUAGGCGACGAUCCGUAACUGGUCUGAGAGGAUGAUCAGUCACACUGGAACUGAGACACGGUCCAGACUCCUACGGGAGGCAGCAGUGGGGAAUAUUGGACAAUGGGCGAAAGCCUGAUCCAGCCAUGCCGCGUGUGUGAAGAAGGUCUUCGGAUUGUAAAGCACUUUAAGUUGGGAGGAAGGGCAGUAAGCUAAUACCUUGCUGUUUUGACGUUACCGACAGAAUAAGCACCGGCUAACUCUGUGCCAGCAGCCGCGGUAAUACAGAGGGUGCAAGCGUUAAUCGGAAUUACUGGGCGUAAAGCGCGCGUAGGUGGUUCGUUAAGUUGGAUGUGAAAGCCCCGGGCUCAACCUGGGAACUGCAUCCAAAACUGGCGAGCUAGAGUAUGGUAGAGGGUGGUGGAAUUUCCUGUGUAGCGGUGAAAUGCGUAGAUAUAGGAAGGAACACCAGUGGCGAAGGCGACCACCUGGACUGAUACUGACACUGAGGUGCGAAAGCGUGGGGAGCAAACAGG
RNAcentral lists this ribosomal RNA (753 nucleotides) under uncultured Pseudomonas sp. Its description in RNAcentral is "bacterial SSU rRNA". It matches the Rfam family "Bacterial small subunit ribosomal RNA", at positions 28 to 776 of the family's 1533-position model. Lineage: Bacteria; Pseudomonadati; Pseudomonadota; Gammaproteobacteria; Pseudomonadales; Pseudomonadaceae. The record is from RNAcentral.